CUUGCUGCUGGAAAACAUUCUGUGGGAAUUAUAUGGAGGUGAAGCGGUCUAGCUGUGAGCUGGCUGAAAGCUGGAGUUAGCUCAAAACAGUUCUGAAAGAGCGAUACUCUUGCGAAGAUAUAAAGCCCAAGCCUGGCUCUUGACAUGGCAACAACUAAUCGUCGGACAUCUCUAAGGUGGCCUACAGCUUUGGUACGCACUAGUGAAAGGAGAAUAUAAUCAUUUUGUUGACCUUGAAAUCUGUCCACAGUUGUUACCUUGUUUGGCCGUCCAAUCAAUGGAUUAUUCCCACAGCGCUGGUUAAUGACAUCUCGGAUCAGAUGUUUCUGUCCAUUGUACGUUGUCAGGAUACUUAUCCUGUCUGCAGGAUAACCAAGCAGGCACAUAUACAUGAAAACUGCCACAACGUAUUCUGCUUCACCAAGAUUCUGAUAGAAAUAAGGAUUGGGUUCAGACUCUCCCACACCAUUGAAGUCUUCUACGUUUAUAAGUUGGAAGUCAUAUAAAAACCCAG
This 514-nucleotide long non-coding RNA is filed under the name Gallus gallus (chicken). Lineage: Eukaryota; Metazoa; Chordata; Aves; Galliformes; Phasianidae. The record is from RNAcentral.